AUGGGCAGCUCCUGCCUGACCAACCUUCCUGCUUUUUAUAAUGGUGUGUCAGUGGACAAGGGAGGCAGCACUGAUGUCAUCUAUCCAGACUUCAGUAAGGCCUUUCACAUGGUCUCUUUCCCACCACUCUUUCCCCAUAACAUCUUUCUUUCCAAAUUGGAAACAUAUGGAUUAGAUGGUUGAAUUCUUUGAUAGAUGAGGAAUUGGUUGCAAUAUUGUACCCAGUGAGGGAUGGUCAAUGACUCAGUGUCCACACGGAGAUUGGUGAAAAGUGGUGUCCCUCAGGGGUCAGUGACUGGUGCUCUUUAAGAAAGAUCUUCAUCAGUGAUGUUGACAGUGGGAUUGAAUACACACUCAGCAAGUCUGUGGAUAACAGCAAGCUUUGUGGUGUGGUUGGCAUGCUCAAGGGGCGGGAUGCCAUCCAGAUAGACCUAGACAGGCCUGGUAAGUGGGCCCAGGAGGACCUUCUGAGUUCCAGCAAAGCCAAGUGCAAGGUCUUGCACACAGGUCCUGGUAACCCCCCACUGAGUACAAGCUGAGGGAAGUAAGGAUGGAGCACAGCCCUGCUCAAAGGGGUUUGGGGGUACUGGUGGAUGGCAGGGCUGGAAAGGAUAUCGCUGUCUUUUCCUCUGUCCUCAUUCCCAGAGCAUUACAGGUACAUAAUUACAGGUUCAGCCCAAUUGAGACCCAGUCAUCGAGUAGUAAGCUAAAUGGAUGUUGUGUUUUGGUGAUUUUUGUUGUCAGUAUUCCACAUCAGAACAUCACAUGAACCAGUGGAAGUUAAAGAGUUAAUGUUCUGGUUCCGUUUACUGCCUGUUAUGGGCAUUUUGGGUAUUCUGAUGGGAGGGGAGGGGCAGAAUCCCAGAGGACUUGGCGCCAAGAGGAAGUGAGGUGGAGCUCCGGACAGGAUCUUGGUCAUCUCUGCCUCCCUCGGGGCCGGCUCAGAUCACUGCGGAGGAGGGCACGUGCUUCCCUCGCACUUUGGGUACCCUUCUGUCUCUGAUUUUGUUUGAUUUGGCUGGAUUUAGUAAAUUACCGUUCCUCC
This is a long non-coding RNA of Gallus gallus (chicken), 1045 nucleotides long. The record is from Ensembl. NCBI's taxonomy places the organism in Eukaryota, Metazoa, Chordata, Aves, Galliformes, Phasianidae.